RNAcentral lists this ribosomal RNA (243 nucleotides) under uncultured bacterium. RNAcentral's name for it is "partial 16S ribosomal RNA". It matches the Rfam family "Bacterial small subunit ribosomal RNA", at positions 15 to 253 of the family's 1533-position model. The record is from RNAcentral.
GAUCCUGGCUCAGGAUGAACGCUAGCGACAGGCUUAACACAUGCAAGUCGAGGGGCAGCGGGGGUAGCAAUACCCGCCGGCGACCGGCGCACGGGUGAGUAACGCGUAUGCAACUUACCUAUCAGAGGGGGAUAACCCGGCGAAAGUCGGACUAAUACCGCAUGAAGCAGGGGGUCCCGCAUGGGGAUAUUUGCUAAAGAUUCAUCGCUGAUAGAUAGGCAUGCGUUCCAUUAGGCAGUUGGG